Molecule: ribosomal RNA, 445 nt
Filed under: uncultured bacterium
Lineage: Bacteria
Description: bacterial SSU rRNA
Rfam family: Bacterial small subunit ribosomal RNA
Source: RNAcentral
GUAGGGAAUAUUGGUCAAUGGACGAGAGUCUGAACCAGCCAUUCCGCGUGCAGGAAGAAGAUUCUAUGGAUUGUAAACUGCUUUUAGCAGAGAAGAAACGCCUUCAUUGAUGAGGGUUUGACGGUAUCUGCGGAAUAAGCACCGGCUAACUCCGUGCCAGCAGCCGCGGUAAUACGGGGGGUGCAAGCGUUAUCCGGAAUCACUGGGUUUAAAGGGUGCGUAGGCGGGAAAUUAAGUCAGUGGUGAAAGUCUGUUGCUUAACGAUAGAAUUGCCGUUGAUACUGAUUUUCUUGAAUUGGGUUGAGGUUAGCGGAAUGUGACAUGUAGCGGUGAAAUGCAUAGAUAUGUCAUGGAACACCAAUUGCGAAGGCAGCUAGCUGGGCCUUGAUUGACGCUGAGGCACGAAAGCGUGGGGAGCAAACAGGAUUAGAAACCCGAGUAGUCC